RNAcentral lists this ribosomal RNA (253 nucleotides) under uncultured bacterium. Its description in RNAcentral is "partial 16S ribosomal RNA". It matches the Rfam family "Bacterial small subunit ribosomal RNA", at positions 524 to 776 of the family's 1533-position model. The record is from RNAcentral.
UACAGAGGGUGCGAGCGUUGUUCGGAAUUACUGGGCGUAAAGCGUGCGCAGGCGGUUCGUUAAGUCAGAUGUGAAAGCCCCGGGCUCAACCUGGGAACUGCAUUUGAAACUGGCGGGCUUGAGUAUGGCAGAGGGGGGUGGAAUUCCGCGUGUAGCAGUGAAAUGCGUAGAGAUGUGGAGGAACACCGAUGGCGAAGGCAGCCCCCUGGGCUGAGAUUGACGCUCAGGCACGAAAGCGUGGGGAGCAAACAGG